UACGAAGGGGGCUAGCGUUGUUCGGAAUUACUGGGCGUAAAGCGCGCGCAGGCGGUUUUUCAAGUCAGUGGUGAAAGCCCGGAGCUCAACUCCGGAACUGCCAUUGAAAACUGUGAAACUUGAGGAUGAGAGGAGGUGAGUGGAAUUCCCAGUGUAGAGGUGAAAUUCGUAGAUAUUGGGAAGAACACCGGUGGCGAAGGCG
Molecule: ribosomal RNA, 202 nt
Filed under: uncultured bacterium
Lineage: Bacteria
Description: partial 16S ribosomal RNA
Rfam family: Bacterial small subunit ribosomal RNA
Source: RNAcentral